Molecule: unclassified non-coding RNA, 27 nt
Filed under: Mus musculus (house mouse)
Lineage: Eukaryota; Metazoa; Chordata; Mammalia; Rodentia; Muridae
Description: oocyte_clustered_small_RNA9025
Source: RNAcentral
UGGCAGAAUCUCUUAGGAGACAGUUGU